GAUGAACGCUGGCGGCGUGCUUAACACAUGCAAGUCGAACGGAAAGGCCCAAGCUUGCUUGGGUACUCGAGUGGCGAACGGGUGAGUAACACGUGGGUGAUCUGCCCUGCACUUCGGGAUAAGCCUGGGAAACUGGGUCUAAUACCGGAUAGGACGAUGGUUUGGAUGCCAUUGUGGAAAGUUUUUUCGGUGUGGGAUGAGCUCGCGGCGUAUCAGCUUGUUUGUGGGGUAAUGGCCUACCAAGGCGUCGACGGGUAGCCUGCCUGAGAGGGUGUACGGCCACAUUGGGAGUGAGAGACGGCCCAGACUCCUACGGGAGGCAGCAGUGGGGAAUAUUGCACAAUGGGCGAAAGCCUGAUGCAGCGACGCCGCGGGGGGGAUGACGGCCUUCGGGUUGUAAACUCCUUUCGCUAGGGACGAAGCGUUUUUGUGACGGUACCUGGAGAAGAAGCACCGGCUAACUACGUG
RNAcentral lists this ribosomal RNA (468 nucleotides) under uncultured bacterium. Its description in RNAcentral is "partial 16S ribosomal RNA". It matches the Rfam family "Bacterial small subunit ribosomal RNA", at positions 28 to 507 of the family's 1533-position model. The record is from RNAcentral.